This 102-nucleotide non-coding RNA is filed under the name Staphylococcus sp. RNAcentral's name for it is "SAM-I sequence". It matches the Rfam family "SAM riboswitch aptamer (S box leader)". From Rfam's summary of the family: The SAM riboswitch is found upstream of a number of genes which code for proteins involved in methionine or cysteine biosynthesis in Gram-positive bacteria. Lineage: Bacteria; Bacillati; Bacillota; Bacilli; Caryophanales; Staphylococcaceae. The record is from RNAcentral.
AACUUAUCGAGAGAAGUGGAGGGACUGGCCUGUUGAUACUUCGGCAACAUGAUGAUGCGUGUGCCAAUUCCAGUAGCAUAAAUGAAUGCUAGAAGAUAAGAA